Molecule: ribosomal RNA, 516 nt
Filed under: uncultured bacterium
Lineage: Bacteria
Description: bacterial SSU rRNA
Rfam family: Bacterial small subunit ribosomal RNA
Source: RNAcentral
GGGGGGAACCCUGAUCCAGCCAUGCCGCGUGUGUGAAGAAGGCCUUUUGGUUGUAAAGCACUUUAAGCGAGGAGGAGGCUACUGGUAUUAAUACUACCGGAUAGUGGACGUUACUCGCAGAAUAAGCACCGGCUAACUCUGUGCCAGCAGCCGCGGUAAUACAGAGGGUGCGAGCGUUAAUCGGAUUUACUGGGCGUAAAGCGUGCGUAGGCGGCUUUUUAAGUCGGAUGUGAAAUCCCUGAGCUUAACUUAGGAAUUGCAUUCGAUACUGGGAGGCUAGAGUAUGGGAGAGGAUGGUAGAAUUCCAGGUGUAGCGGUGAAAUGCGUAGAGAUCUGGAGGAAUACCGAUGGCGAAGGCAGCCAUCUGGCCUAAUACUGACGCUGAGGUACGAAAGCAUGGGGAGCAAACAGGAUUAGAUACCCUGGUAGUCCAUGCCGUAAACGAUGUCUACUAGCCGUUGGAGCCUUUGAGGCUUUAGUGGCGCAGCUAACGCGAUAAGUAGACCGCCUGGGGAG